AGGAGAUGACCAACGGAGACACUCCAACAAUUGGCUACCGAGGGGUUGGAUACAACCCAAAUUUUGCCCAUGCCGACGAAUACCCUCCUAGUCAAGAGCAUGUUCAAAUCCAAAAAGAACCUAUCGAUUUGAAUGUUAUGUCGAACAAGGAGACAAGAACGCACUACCGUACAGAUGAUAAGCGACACAUAUAUUCUGAGAUCCUUGCCCGUAAUGGUGGGGGUAAUAGGUUGAAGCAUGGAGUUUCUAAAGCUGUUGCACUAGCUUGUGAAUGUCCAAGGAGAAUAGUGCAAAGGGUAUGGCAGCAGGCUAAAAAUGGUGGAGGCAUUACAGGGGUAAAAAACAAUCGGAAGCUCAAAUCAGGAAGGAAAAAGAUAAAUUUAAACAUAGAUGCAUUGGAGGCCAUCCCACCUGGAGAGAGAACAACAUUAGAACAAGUUGCUGGACAUCUAAACUUGUCAACUACCACUGUUUGGAGGAGGUUGAAGAUGAAGGAAAUUUGACGAAUAACAAGUGAAUUGAAGCCCGCCUUGACUGAUGCAAACCAAAGGGCUCGUCUGGAGUAUGCUCUUAUGCAUCUUGAACCAUGUAGCAUAACAUCCCUAGGUGGUAUUAAUCCCACAUUUAGGGCUGAUAUGGAUGUGGUUCAUAUAGAUGAGAAAUGGUUUUAUCGCACGCGGAA
This is a long non-coding RNA of Triticum aestivum (bread wheat), 682 nucleotides long. RefSeq lists it as uncharacterized. Lineage: Eukaryota; Viridiplantae; Streptophyta; Magnoliopsida; Poales; Poaceae. The transcript is spliced from 3 exons. The record is from RefSeq and is a predicted model, not a curated record.